GUUGAAAUUAAGAGUUAAAAGAGGGUUUUAGAGAGACAGAUAUUGGGGCGUGGUAAAACCCGAAAAACCUAAAUCGAGGAUGGAAUCGGGGAACGGGAAAGGGAAAGAAGCUGUGUGCGGAGAAGAAGCCCUUCAACUCCUCAAUUGCGUCACUGAGACUCCCUUCAACCAAGAAAAAUGCCAACACCUCUUGCAUUCCUUGCGCCAAUGCGUCCUCGCCAAGAAAGUAAAGAAGUUUUCCUUGGCUGGACAGGAUCAGCAGGAAACAAAGCCAAAUAGCAAGAAGGCGUAAAGCAUGUUCUAUGUAUUGAACUAUUUAUAUUGCUGAUCGCAAGUCUUUUCUUAUUUGAUACUCUGAUUCGCAGGCAUUUACCAUUUUCCCCUCCACUGUUCUGAUGUACAGAAGCUGUUCAUUCAAAUCUGACUUUCAUUUAUUCACAAAUAAUUGUUAUUUUGCCCACUGUUUGUUUAUGGGUGUAAAGUCGAAUGAAAGUUAUUGUUAACAGCGUGUACCUUGUUUAGCUUAACAUUCAAAAAUCAAAACUUUAAGACAUCGGAAUUUAUGACCUGUAGCUAUUUCUAUCCAGCUACCAUUAAUAACAGUUAUGGCAUUCUAAUGGGUGGAUUUCUGGCUUUACAUGAUAA
Arachis stenosperma is the source of this 645-nucleotide long non-coding RNA. RefSeq lists it as uncharacterized. The record is from RefSeq and is a predicted model, not a curated record. Lineage: Eukaryota; Viridiplantae; Streptophyta; Magnoliopsida; Fabales; Fabaceae. The transcript has 2 exons.